This 520-nucleotide ribosomal RNA is filed under the name uncultured bacterium. Its description in RNAcentral is "partial 16S ribosomal RNA". It matches the Rfam family "Bacterial small subunit ribosomal RNA", at positions 28 to 507 of the family's 1533-position model. The record is from RNAcentral.
GACGAACGCUGGCGGCGUGCCUAAUACAUGCAAGUCGAACGCACUCUCGUUUAGAUUGCAGGAGUUUGCUCCUGAUUGAUAAACAUUUGAGUGAGUGGCGGACGGGUGAGUAACACGUGGGUAACCUGCCCUAAAGUGGGGGAUAACAUUUGGAAACAGAUGCUAAUACCGCAUAAAACCUAACACCGCAUGGUGUAGGGUUGAAAGAUGGUUUCGGCUCUCACUUUAGGAUGGACCCGCGGUGCAUUAGUUAGUUGGUGAGGUAAAGGCUCACCAAGACAGUGAUGCGUAGCCGACCUGAGAGGGUGAUCGGCCACACUGGGACUGAGACACGGCCCAGACUCCUACGGGAGGCAGCAGUAGGGAAUCUUCCACAAUGGGCGAAAGUCUGAUGGAGCAACGCCGCGUGAGUGAAGAAGGUUUUCGGAUCGUAAAACUCUGUUGUUGGAGAAGAAUGUAUCUGAUAGUAACUGAUCAGGUAGUGACGGUAUCCAACCAGAAAGCCACGGCUAACUACGUG